GAUUAAAAUGCAGAUUUCUGGGCCCCAUCCAGACCUACUCAAUCAAUUAUCUGGGGUCCAGGAAUCUGCAGUUUUUCCCAAGUGCCGCAG
RNAcentral lists this microRNA precursor (90 nucleotides) under Myotis lucifugus (little brown bat). RNAcentral describes it as "miRNA (ENSMLUG00000020846.1)". The record is from RNAcentral. Lineage: Eukaryota; Metazoa; Chordata; Mammalia; Chiroptera; Vespertilionidae.